AGGACACUGCCCUUUCACGGCUGUAACAGGGGUUCGAAUCCCCUUGGGGACGCCACUCCGAUAAUGUGUGAAA
RNAcentral lists this transfer RNA (73 nucleotides) under Yersinia enterocolitica (type O:5,27) str. YE149/02. RNAcentral's name for it is "transfer RNA-Glu". The stretch from base 1 to 52 matches the Rfam family "tRNA", at positions 20 to 71 of the family's 71-position model. From Rfam's summary of the family: Transfer RNA (tRNA) molecules are approximately 80 nucleotides in length. The record is from RNAcentral. Lineage: Bacteria; Pseudomonadati; Pseudomonadota; Gammaproteobacteria; Enterobacterales; Yersiniaceae.